This is a long non-coding RNA of Mercenaria mercenaria, 780 nucleotides long. RefSeq lists it as uncharacterized. The record is from RefSeq and is a predicted model, not a curated record. Lineage: Eukaryota; Metazoa; Mollusca; Bivalvia; Venerida; Veneridae. The transcript has 4 exons.
UUGAUUUGACAAACCGUAGCGCUUGUUAUAAUUUUGUACGGUCUUAAACUUUACUUAAAUCAAUAUUCAAUUCGUAUGUAAAAUGUACUGAUAUUUGACAUUCAGUUUAUAAUAUUCUUGUGCACUGGAGUAAAUAAAAAAGCAAGCAAGAUGAAAGUGUUUUUACAUUACGGCCCUUAUCAGAGAUGAAAUGGUGUUUACCACUCGCAGAAACCAGUGACUCCGUUGAUUCAUGGUCUCGGGUCAGCUGGUUUUACGGUGGUACCUGUGCAAGUCAAGAGGCGCGAUGCAUGCGAACUAGUUGUAGACAAGAAAGUUGUUUGGAAACGUACCAUCCCCGAACUUCUUAUAGAUACUGUUAAGAAAUCUACCCUUGUCAGCGAUGCCAUCAAUGCCUGCAAAUCUGUGGAGAAAAGUAACUCCUUAUCAUAUAAUAAUGACACUAAUGCUCAAAGUAUCAAAUUUUAAAAAUGAAGAUUACGACAUCACUAGUACUUAGGAACUGUGCAUUCGUGAAUAAAUGCAAAGGAAAUGCACAUAGCCUCCCUACCUAUUAACGGAUUUCCCUUCAGUCACAAAGAUACUAUUUCUAUUAAUGAAUUUGUUAAAUUGAUUAUAACGUUUUAUGUAUUACUUAUGCUGCAUAUUCGAAGAAAGUGCUGACUAUACAAUACUGAGACCAGACAGAAAUGACGUGGUUGUCUGAAAAUACGAGACAAACAUUGAAAACCUUAUGUACUUUCAGUUUUGUAUAAAAUGCAUUAAAUCGUAUACAGUUCA